UACCUAUAGUCCCUCAUCCAUCUAAUAUCCCAGAGACCAUAUAUCGGGCAUGGUGCUGUCAGACCCAUACGGUUUCUACUCGAGUCUCGCUCUAAUCGGAUUCUCCCGGAUAACUCUUUCUCUUUCAACCCGAAUGACCCUGGCUAGGGAUUUGUCUGAGCAAGAACAUAUGGGAUAUUCCUCUCAUGACGCCGAGAGUGGAUGAUCCUCUAUCG
This 215-nucleotide long non-coding RNA is filed under the name Musa acuminata (dwarf banana). RNAcentral describes it as "long non-coding RNA (MACU_LNC008827)". The record is from RNAcentral. Lineage: Eukaryota; Viridiplantae; Streptophyta; Magnoliopsida; Zingiberales; Musaceae.